GCGCGAAAACUCUCCAAUGUGCGAAAGCGUGAGAGGGGAACUCCCAGUGCUAUAGGUUCAUCCUAUGGCUUUUGCCAUGUGUAAAAAGCAUGGCGAAUAAGUGGUGGGUAAGACUGGUGCCAGCCGCCGCGGUAACACCAGCGCCACGAGUGGCUAUCGCGAUUAUUGGGCCUAAAGCGUCCGUAGUCGGUUCUGUGCAUCUUUUGUGAAAUCGCAGCGCUUAACGUUGCGGCAUGCGAAAGACACGGCA
Molecule: ribosomal RNA, 250 nt
Filed under: uncultured bacterium
Lineage: Bacteria
Description: partial 16S ribosomal RNA
Rfam family: Archaeal small subunit ribosomal RNA
Source: RNAcentral